UUUAUAAAGGAUAAUGUUAUAUGUACAGAUAUAUUAUAUUUCUACAUGAGUACAUAUAACAUUAUAUGUACUCCGAUAUAAUAAUACAAAUGCGUUUACAUAUUUUAAAUUUGAUUCUAAAGGUGCUACAUUUUGAAAAGUUUCAAAAAUAUCCAAGGGGUAAUAGUGAAAAACAAAAGAGACAGAUACUUUCUCUUUUGCAACCAAUAUUUGCA
This 215-nucleotide long non-coding RNA is filed under the name Nicotiana benthamiana. RNAcentral's name for it is "long non-coding RNA (NBEN_LNC002569)". The record is from RNAcentral. Lineage: Eukaryota; Viridiplantae; Streptophyta; Magnoliopsida; Solanales; Solanaceae.